UACGGAGGGUGCGAGCGUUGUCCGGAUUUAUUGGGUUUAAAGGGUGCGUAGGCGGUUUGAUAAGUCUGGGGUGAAAGCCCGUUGCUCAACAACGGAACUGCCCUGGAUACUGUCAGACUUGAGGACAGACGAGGUUGGCGGAAUAGAAGAUGUAGCGGUGAAAUGCAUAGAUAUCUUCUAGAACCCCGAUUGCGAAGGCAGCUGACUAGACUGUAUCUGACGCUGAGGCACGAAAGCGUGGGGGAGCGAACAGG
RNAcentral lists this ribosomal RNA (254 nucleotides) under uncultured bacterium. Its description in RNAcentral is "partial 16S ribosomal RNA". It matches the Rfam family "Bacterial small subunit ribosomal RNA", at positions 524 to 776 of the family's 1533-position model. The record is from RNAcentral.